RNAcentral lists this ribosomal RNA (1623 nucleotides) under Salmonella enterica subsp. enterica serovar Paratyphi A. RNAcentral describes it as "16S ribosomal RNA". The record is from RNAcentral. Lineage: Bacteria; Pseudomonadati; Pseudomonadota; Gammaproteobacteria; Enterobacterales; Enterobacteriaceae.
UUUUCAUCAGACAAUCUGUGUGAGCACUGCAAAGUACGCUUCUUUAAGGUAAGGAGGUGAUCCAACCGCAGGUUCCCCUACGGUUACCUUGUUACGACUUCACCCCAGUCAUGAAUCACAAAGUGGUAAGCGCCCUCCCGAAGGUUAAGCUACCUACUUCUUUUGCAACCCACUCCCAUGGUGUGACGGGCGGUGUGUACAAGGCCCGGGAACGUAUUCACCGUGGCAUUCUGAUCCACGAUUACUAGCGAUUCCGACUUCAUGGAGUCGAGUUGCAGACUCCAAUCCGGACUACGACGCACUUUAUGAGGUCCGCUUGCUCUCGCGAGGUCGCUUCUCUUUGUAUGCGCCAUUGUAGCACGUGUGUAGCCCUGGUCGUAAGGGCCAUGAUGACUUGACGUCAUCCCCACCUUCCUCCAGUUUAUCACUGGCAGUCUCCUUUGAGUUCCCGGCCGGACCGCUGGCAACAAAGGAUAAGGGUUGCGCUCGUUGCGGGACUUAACCCAACAUUUCACAACACGAGCUGACGACAGCCAUGCAGCACCUGUCUCACGGUUCCCGAAGGCACAUUCUCAUCUCUGAAAACUUCCGUGGAUGUCAAGACCAGGUAAGGUUCUUCGCGUUGCAUCGAAUUAAACCACAUGCUCCACCGCUUGUGCGGGCCCCCGUCAAUUCAUUUGAGUUUUAACCUUGCGGCCGUACUCCCCAGGCGGUCUACUUAACGCGUUAGCUCCGGAAGCCACGCCUCAAGGGCACAACCUCCAAGUAGACAUCGUUUACGGCGUGGACUACCAGGGUAUCUAAUCCUGUUUGCUCCCCACGCUUUCGCACCUGAGCGUCAGUCUUUGUCCAGGGGGCCGCCUUCGCCACCGGUAUUCCUCCAGAUCUCUACGCAUUUCACCGCUACNNNNNNNNNNNNNNNNNNNNCUGCCAGUUUCGAAUGCAGUUCCCAGGUUGAGCCCGGGGAUUUCACAUCCGACUUGACAGACCGCCUGCGUGCGCUUUACGCCCAGUAAUUCCGAUUAACGCUUGCACCCUCCGUAUUACCGCGGCUGCUGGCACGGAGUUAGCCGGUGCUUCUUCUGCGGGUAACGUCAAUUGCUGCGGUUAUUAACCACAACACCUUCCUCCCCGCUGAAAGUACUUUACAACCCGAAGGCCUUCUUCAUACACGCGGCAUGGCUGCAUCAGGCUUGCGCCCAUUGUGCAAUAUUCCCCACUGCUGCCUCCCGUAGGAGUCUGGACCGUGUCUCAGUUCCAGUGUGGCUGGUCAUCCUCUCAGACCAGCUAGGGAUCGUCGCCUUGGUGAGCCGUUACCUCACCAACAAGCUAAUCCCAUCUGGGCACAUCUGAUGGCAAGAGGCCCGAAGGUCCCCCUCUUUGGUCUUGCGACGUUAUGCGGUAUUAGCCACCGUUUCCAGUAGUUAUCCCCCUCCAUCAGGCAGUUUCCCAGACAUUACUCACCCGUCCGCCACUCGUCAGCAAAGCAGCAAGCUGCUUCCUGUUACCGUUCGACUUGCAUGUGUUAGGCCUGCCGCCAGCGUUCAAUCUGAGCCAUGAUCAAACUCUUCAAUUUAAAAGUUUGAUGCUCAAUGAAUUAAACUUCGUAAUGAAUUACGUGUU